ACGUCGUUAGUUCAAUUGGCAGAACACCAGCCUCCAAAGCUGGGUGUUGAGGGUUCGAGUCCUUCACGGCGUG
RNAcentral lists this transfer RNA (73 nucleotides) under Xanthomonas phage X1. RNAcentral's name for it is "tRNA-Trp". It matches the Rfam family "tRNA". Rfam says of the family: Transfer RNA (tRNA) molecules are approximately 80 nucleotides in length. Their secondary structure includes four short double-helical elements and three loops (D, anti-codon, and T loops). The record is from RNAcentral. Lineage: Duplodnaviria; Heunggongvirae; Uroviricota; Caudoviricetes.